This 498-nucleotide long non-coding RNA is filed under the name Elaeis guineensis (African oil palm). Its description in RNAcentral is "long non-coding RNA (EGUI_LNC055376)". The record is from RNAcentral. Lineage: Eukaryota; Viridiplantae; Streptophyta; Magnoliopsida; Arecales; Arecaceae.
AACUAUUUCUCAUAUAAAUUUUUUACAUUAAAUCAUAAAAUCUUUUAGAUCACAUCUAAAUUUUUAUAAUUUCAAAUCAUAAUAAUUUUGAUUAUUAAGAUUAGAUGUAACUACUUUUCUUUCCAACUUACAUCAUAUACAACAAAUCCUAAGAUUUCAAGAUCUAAAAUUUUGUAAGAAAGUAAAUUUUUCUUUUUGAUUUCUUCUUCAUGGGACCUCAUAGUGGCACCCCUACACACCAUAAGAGCACCCCAUUGAAUGGAAAGAGAGGGUCAUGUAACCCUACUUGCUCCUAUGAUCGAACGGUCUGGUGAUUACUCAAUUCGAGUACUUUGCUACUUAGAUCAUCUAAUCUAAUAUGUACAGGAUUGAUCAAAUAUCAGAUCUAAAAUUAAAACAUAUUUAGAUCUAAUCUAAAUAACAUAUAAUCAGAUCUAAAAGCAUAUAAAAUCAUAUAAGGAACAAAGUUCUGAUACCAAUUGAAGAAAAAGUAGGGCA